AUGAUCGCAGCCUGGGAAGAACCAACAUCACAUAUAUCAGAAUUUGGGUUUUUCUGGCAAUCCAGUUUUAUCAUUGUUGAGAAUUCUUUUCCAGUGAUCUUUACUCCCUUACCGACUUGUGCACAGGUUACUAGAUUUAUUUGCGCCAUUACAGCAGGAAUUUGUGCAACAAUACUUCUGGCAAGGUCAGAAUCUCCACUUUGCAAAUCAAGAUUAAAGUUGUGUCCGAGAAUGUCGAGACAAAUCUGCUCAAAUGUUCCACACAACUUUUCUGCAAAGUUUGUCACUUCAUUCAUUGCUCCAUUGGUCAGUUUGUCGAUAUCCAGUUUUUUGUUUUGUUGAUGUUUGUUGACAUGUAGCUUCAGACCUAUUUCCUCGCAGAAGGGAUAAUGAUCCACACUCUUGGCUGAAAUAUGUUCUGUAGUUUCAGCAUGUGAAUGAGGAGGACACACAGGAGCAACAUCACACCCCUCCAUUCUCAGUAUUCUGCUGAGUUCAUGUUUUACACUGUCCACAGUGUGAUUCAUCAUAUUUAUUGAUGGCAUGGGACCAGGAAGUUCAGAGACCUCUUUUGAGAUUUUGACUGCGCCUUCACAUCUUCUCAGCUUUCUUACUCUAUUCAAAAUUUCAGAAGUGAAAAUAUUCUUUUGCCAUUUACUCUGCAGGCAGAUAUCAAAGUUGUACUCAAGAAUCUCUGUGAUGAAAUCCUGCCGGGAAGAAUUCAUUGCUAAGGCAAAUUUAGCAACUUCAAGCAGAUAAUUAGGCAAAGAGUCAAUACUGAUGUUUUGCUUUGGGCCAAAUCCAACAUUGAAUUCAAUGCAAAAUUCCUUAGAUGGACCCAACUCUUUGUUUAGUGAGGAGAGGAUUUGUUUUACACAAUUAGCGCGCAACUUCCACAUGUUGUUCUCAGUUCCCAUUUCCUCUUGUUCCAUGUCACAUGUAUUGCCAGUGUCUGAGUCUAGAUCAGACUCUCCUAGAGGACAAGUGUAGUUGAUCUCUGCUCUCAUUUCCUCUUGUUCCAUGUCACAUUUAUUGCCAGCGUCUGAGUCUAGAUCAGACUCUCCUAGAGGACAAGUGUAGUUGAUCUCUGCUCUCAUUUCCUCUUGUUCCAUGUCACAUUUAUUGCCAGUGUCUGAGUCUAGAUCAGACUCUCCUAGAGGACAAGUGUAACAAUGAUCUUCCUUUGUUAUUUGACCGGUAUACAUAGUGUUAGGAGAGAGUGUGUUGGUCUCCAUUUCUUUAGACUGUUCUCUUCUGCACCUUUUGUUUCCCCUUUCACCUGUUGUUGACAGAGCCGUCUUUUCCUGUUUACUUUUUAAAUCAGACUGCCUUCUUUUUGUCACUUCCUUAAGCUGAUACUGUGGGCCUUCCACAUUGGACAGUGGUGAUCCAGUAGUUCUCUUGAAGGGAUUUGUCUGGAACGAAAACCUCUCAUUUUUAAACUCCGGGGUCAUUUUGCUACCAGUGGUGAGAAAUCGCUUUCUUCUUUUCAGCAGGUGUGAUAUCUUGAACCAAACUCGACUUUUUGCCUGUCGACUACUGACAUCGAGUUCAAAAUUGUGCUCCAACACACCCAGAACAAUAGGGCUGUAGGAUGCAGUCAGAAUUCUGGUGAAGUGUACCAAUUCUAACAUCACACCCUUUGUCAACAAACCUGGAUCUAGACUUUGUUUUGACCCAACAUCAAGGCUCAGACCAAUUUCUUCACAACAAGGAAACAAAAGGGGAAGAACAGCCUCUCUCCGUGCUUCUGCUGACUGUGUUUCUGAACCCUUUAAUUCAUCCUCAUGUUGACGG
This is a long non-coding RNA of Cottoperca gobio, 1797 nucleotides long. Lineage: Eukaryota; Metazoa; Chordata; Actinopteri; Perciformes; Bovichtidae. The record is from Ensembl.